Lonchura striata (white-rumped munia) is the source of this 174-nucleotide non-coding RNA. The record is from RefSeq and is a predicted model, not a curated record. Lineage: Eukaryota; Metazoa; Chordata; Aves; Passeriformes; Estrildidae.
GAACUGCUCUGGAAAAUGGACCUUGCUUGAGAACCUCAUGAGACCGGACAUCCAGCAGUCAAGAUUCAAGAAGAAAUGGGAUUCUAAUGGGGGCUCAUUCCCAUCAAAUGGCGUUUAUCUUGAGUUUUGCUGGGCAUAGAGGAACUAAAGGACAUGGGAGUAAGAAAAUUGACU